This 462-nucleotide ribosomal RNA is filed under the name uncultured Methanomicrobiales archaeon. RNAcentral's name for it is "bacterial SSU rRNA". It matches the Rfam family "Archaeal small subunit ribosomal RNA", at positions 877 to 1338 of the family's 1478-position model. Lineage: Archaea; Methanobacteriati; Methanobacteriota; Methanomicrobia; Methanomicrobiales. The record is from RNAcentral.
CACCACAACAGGUGGAGCCUGCGGUUUAAUCGGACUCAACGCCGGGAAACUCACCAGAUAAGACAGCUGAAUGAUAGUCGGGCUGAAGACUCUACUUGACUAGCUGAGAGGAGGUGCAUGGCCGUCGUCAGUUCGUACUGUGAAGCAUCCUGUUAAGUCAGGCAACGAGCGAGACCCACGCCAACAGUUGCCAGCUCGUCCUCCGGGAUGGUGGGGACACUGUUGGGACCGCCUCUGCUAAAGAGGAGGAAGGAAUGGGCAACGGUAGGUCAGCAUGCCCCGAAUUAUCUGGGCUACACGCGGGCUACAAUGGGUGGGACAAUGGGUAUCGACACCGAAAGGUGAAGGCAAUCUCCUAAAUCCAUCCGUAGUUCGGAUUGUGGGCUGCAACUCGCCCACAUGAAGCUGGAAUCUGUAGUAAUCGUGUCUCAAAAUGGCACGGUGAAUAUGUCCCUGCUCCUU